GCCGGGCGUGGUGGCACACGCCUGUAAUCCCAGCUACUCGGGAGGCUGAGGCAGGAGAAUCGCUUGAACCCAGGAGGCAGAGGUUGCAGUGAGCCAAGAUCGCGCCACUGCACUCCAGCCUGGGUGACAGAGUGAGACUCUGUCUCAA
This 148-nucleotide small RNA is filed under the name Macaca fascicularis (crab-eating macaque). Its description in RNAcentral is "Metazoan signal recognition particle RNA (ENSMFAG00000047529.1)". It matches the Rfam family "Metazoan signal recognition particle RNA". Rfam says of the family: The signal recognition particle (SRP) is a universally conserved ribonucleoprotein. It is involved in the co-translational targeting of proteins to membranes. Lineage: Eukaryota; Metazoa; Chordata; Mammalia; Primates; Cercopithecidae. The record is from Rfam by way of RNAcentral.